CAGAUUGCUGCAAUACAGCUUCCCACCACGAGCGGCAGCAUUCCGUCAAUUAGACCAGGUGAGCGCCAAAAUAAAUGGCGUAGAGCAAAACAUUUGAUUCACAACGCUCGCAAACACUUUAGCGGGCUCCUUUAGAAUGAACCGAUGGUUUGUUAUUGAUCACCGACUUGGAAAAUACUUUGUCCAUCCUGAUAUAUCUUCAAGAAGUCUACCUUGCCUUGACUGCUGAUGUUAUUGCUGAAGUCCAAGGCCAGUCAUGGGCAUCUGGAACGCCAUGUGUGUAGUCUCCCAUCAGCUCCUGCAGUCUCAGGAAAAAAAAGAAGUUUGUUAAGGUCUCAGUGUGCGUAAUUUGGAUAACUUCUAGUUUUGUAUGUAUGUGUUCAUGUUCACAUCUCUUUUUUUAGUGGAAAUAAAUUGUUGAUUUGUUUAAUUCCAGACACUAACAUAAAGCAUAAGCCUCUUAAUUUAAACAUUUUGAGUUUUUGCACAGUUUCUGAAGUCAGGGUCCUGGAUUUAGAAACACUUUGUGGCUAGAAUUCUACUUUUGGGGUAUUCUUUUAGUAGUAAAAGCUAUGUCUUUAAAUCCCCCCCUUAAACUCCACAGCCCAGAAAAUCUGUGGCUAACAAGGCAGACUUGCAAGCUUGAAGCAUCUGCAUCUAUUAGAGAGAAGAAUCCAAAGCAUUGGAGUAAGGAUUAGGAGGAAAGGUGAAGAGAAGGGGAAAUCAUUCAGGAUUUAUUUGCCUUCUAGCCAUAAAAUGGAUGUAAAACCUGCAUGCUGUAGCCACUUGAAAGUUGUUGUCAGUAAGCCUGACUCAGCGUGGCUCGUAGUACCUAAAAGUUUGAUGUAAUUUGUCUAGUGAAAUGCAACUAGAAGUUCAUUUCCCCCAACUUCUGAUAGACUAUAAUUUCCAAAUCAUAAGAAAACAUGAGAUGUAACAUGAAUGAUCUUGAAAAAUAAAUUAUAGCAGCGAAUAACAGACAUAGACUCGAAAAAUAUAUACUCCUACUGUAAUAUAAUAAAACAAUUAUUUAAAAAAGGAUUUUGUAUAAAUCAUGUACAAAGUACACUCAGCCAAAAACGCACCUCUUUGCACUGGCUUUUAACACUAGUUGAACAUAACAUAUACUUGCACUAUAUUUUUCUGUAUUAUUGUGUUGCACUGUUGGAGAAA
Long non-coding RNA from Gymnodraco acuticeps, 1173 nucleotides. RefSeq lists it as uncharacterized. The record is from RefSeq and is a predicted model, not a curated record. The transcript has 3 exons. Lineage: Eukaryota; Metazoa; Chordata; Actinopteri; Perciformes; Bathydraconidae.